RNAcentral lists this long non-coding RNA (540 nucleotides) under Setaria viridis. Its description in RNAcentral is "long non-coding RNA (SVIR_LNC007835)". Lineage: Eukaryota; Viridiplantae; Streptophyta; Magnoliopsida; Poales; Poaceae. The record is from RNAcentral.
GGGUGCAGGUGCCGGCGGGAGUUAAUGGCGCCGGGGAGGGGCCGGUUGGGUGGAGGAGGUGACGCCGGUCGGGAGGAGUGGCGCCAGUAACCAGGAAGAAGAAAGAGAAAGGAAGGAGAAGAAGGAAAGAGAAAGAAGGAGGGAGAAAGAGAAAGAAAGAAGGAAGAAGAAAAAGAAAGGGAAAAGGGGGAGGGAAAAAGGAAAGAAAGAGAGAGGGCCGGCGGCGGUCGCGGCACGCGGUCGGAGCACGCGCGCGGCGGUUUGUCGAUGGCACGCGGCGAGAUUCACGGGCACAGAUAAGGAGGUAGGGGUCGGCAUGGGUGCCGGGACGGCGAAAUCGCCGGGGAGAUUUCCGAUUUCCGGGAGCUCAGCGGUAAAAAGAUUUUAAAGACGGUUUUUAACGGGUGAUUUUAAUUGGUGGUUUCUGCGGAUGUUACAAACCUACCCCACUUAAAUUGAAUCUCGUCCUCGAGAUUCGACUGAGUCCUGAAGAGGUGGGGAAAUUCCUUCUUUAACGCGUCCUCGCGUUCCCACGUGGCC